Molecule: non-coding RNA, 3067 nt
Organism: Chrysemys picta bellii (western painted turtle)
Lineage: Eukaryota; Metazoa; Chordata; Testudines; Emydidae
Source: RefSeq, a predicted model, not a curated record
CACGGGCACUAGUUAGCGCCACCUCCGGGAGAGCAGCCACAUCGGCUCCCUUCCUUCCUAUGAGCGGGGCGCUCCCGGCCCGCUCGGCAGUGCUAGGCAAUACCCCACCGCUACCUGGGCCCGCAGGCGUUAAUAAGCGGUGUGGGGGAGGGUGUGACGUUCCCCCCCGCGGGCCGGGCCGAGAGAAGCUCCGCCCCUGCCAUGGGGUGGGCGGAGCCUCCCACCUCAACCUCACCGUCCGGCUCGGGCGCCAUUUUGAGAAGCUCUUUGUGUGUCGGGGCUGCGAGAGACACUCGGUGCUUACCCGGGCAGCGCAGGGAGCGGGGCCUUGGCCGCUGUGACUGGCGCUUCCCCGGGAGCGCGCGGUGCAACCGGGCCUGAGCGCUUUUACUCUCUACCCCACGGACCUCGGAGCACAAAGCGCGCCGGUGGAUAUGCCCCUGUCGCUUGUUUUUUUAGUGAACUAGAUGAUUUAUUAGAAAAUGGUACAUGAAGAUGCUUACUGUUCUUCUGCGUCUGCGGAGUGGAUUACUAUGCUAUCAACGCACUGCUCCUAGUUUGGUUUAUUCGUAUUAUUAGCCCUACACUGAUGAUGCCUUAUGUACAGCUGCUAGACUGCAUUCAUUCCCUCCUUUCUCCUGAUUCGUUUCUCCUGAGAAGCAUCACAUCUGUUCUGCACUUUCCUCAAGAUGCUUGGUCAGAAAUGUGAGAGGAGUUGAAUGAACUGAUGUGACCCCAUUCAUUCUGUACUGUUCCAGCUGGGAAGUGUUGUGUAGUAGAGCAGCAUAGACACUUGGCUUGCCUCCAAUGGUACACUCAAGAAAAUUAAGGCCUUAAGGUAGUUGGAGCUGGUCCCAAGCCGGUUUUCACUGACCAGAUAGCAAAAGCAUGGGUCUGACAACCACCAAUCAAGUGUUAACACGGGGACCAAGAGGUCGGGGCAGAGGAAGAGGUGGCAGAGAUUUUGGAAACAAGGGACAGCUUUCAUAUGUCAGAGGGAAAAUGCGAGGCAAAACAAUUAAUGGCAUUGGGCCCAUGAGAUCUGUAUUGAAAACUUUCCAGACGUGGGAUAGGAAGAAUGCAUCCAUAUCCUGACCCCCGAGGCCAAAGAGGAGGCAGAGGGGGGCCACCUCUUUUAUCACUCCCACCCCUGAGAGGAAUGAUGAGAGAUCCUUUCUCACUUCCACCACCAAGGCAAUAUGAGAUUGUUUGAUUGGACUUGUCUGUGCAGACAUGGACUUCCUCCACCACCACCAGGACCAAUGGGCUUCAGAGGCAGGCCACUCCACCCCAGAGCCAGAGGGAUGCUGCAGAUGCCAAGAGGUCGAUUCACUCCACCAAGAAGCUUUCCCAAUGGACCCGAUGUACCAUCCCCUCCGCCACCUGGACGGGGCCAGAGAUGGCCUGGACCACCAGGUGGCAGACACUAUUAAAGAGGCUUAUUCUUUAAAUUGUAUAGCAGGGUGCUUUCUUGUUAUCUUAAAACCAUUUGAAAUGGCUGGACUAAGAACUGCCUAUAAAACGUUAAAGAUGGUAAAGAAUAUUAAUUGAACUUAGACAACUAAUAUUUUCCAGCAGCCCUCAUACAUCAGUUGGCAAAAGCCAUAUAUUAAAAAAAAAAAUCUGUGACUCCUUGGACUUUUUUCAAUCAUAUCCUUUUUAAGCCUAGGCUUUAUGGACACUGACUCCUGCACACUAAACGUAAAAGGAAAAACACGUCUGUUACAAUAGGUCAAGCCUUCAUUUAAUAUACAAAACUCUGAUUUCUUUUGACAGUUGUGUGCAGCUUUUUUUAGUGUAGAACGUGAAUUUGUUUUAAUGCUAUGACUUUGUGUGUAUAAACAUGAACUCUUUUUAAGGGUUUGAAAUCACUUACAAAUUUUAUAACAGUAAAUGCAGCCAACUGCUUAAUAUUUGGGAAGAGUAUACUGUACUACAUUUUGAAGUGUUACCUGUAGAGCCCUGCACAUCCGCGGGAAUCUGCUUUCUAUCCACGGAUAUCCACAGACCAUUUUUGCUGCUCGCAGCUCAGAUGCGGAUACAAAUUUUGUAUCCACACAGGGGUCUGCAGCACACACUCACCGGAAUGGAGAGGCUGUCACCCAGCCUGCAGGCUCCACCUCCGCGCUCUAAAUCAUGCAGCAGUGGGCUGAGCAUUCUGGGAGUUGUAGUUUACCUCCUCCCUCCAAGCAAGCUGGGGACUACAACUCCCAGAAGGGAGUAAGCCUAGCGCCAUUUUGAAGGUGUGUUUGUUCUUUAAAUGAGCAGGCGGUAAUAGCUGUGUGCAUUAGAGCCUCCGCAACUGCAUAGGGGCGUCCGUGCCCCCCACGGGAAGGGCGGUGCUGCAUAGAAGGGCCCAGAAUUGUAGCCUCCCUGUCAGGAGCGGGGAAGGAGGUACGGCAAGGGCGGAGCAGGGGACAGGGCAGGAGGUCUCUGGGGAGAAAUCAGGGAGUGGGGAGUGGUUGAGGGUUGGGGCUUGACACAGCCCUGUGUCCCUGCUGUGCAGUGACCUGUGGAUCUGUUUAGAGCCCUGCAAAUCCACGGAUAUCCACAGACAAUUUUUGCGGAUUGGAUGCGGAUACACCUUUUGUAUCCACGCAGGGCUCUAGUUACCUUAAACACUAUAUGUAAUGGUUAAACAGAAAUUUGUGAAUGUUAAUUUCGAAAAGUGUCAGUAGUUCAUGAAUGAACUUAAAAAACAGCUGUGGACUGUUUUUAAUGUUAUGAUAAUUGUUCUUUAUACACAGCUUGACCUCAUUGUUUAAAUGUCCAGUUGUGUAAGUAACUGUAAUUUCUAAACAAAGUGUGUAACUGAACACUUGACCAAUUGUAUAGUACAACUGGUGUAUGCAUUUGCAUCACCCACCGCAUAAAAUCAAAUUAAAAUGUCAGUUACUUCAAACUAUGCUAACACACAGUAUUGUUAAAAAUCAUAAUUGUUCAUGCUGUUAAACGUAUGGAUCACUGUAUAAUCACCCUAACAGUUAAUUUAACUUUGUUAAUGUGAAAAAAAAUAGAUUUCAAAAUAGUGAAACCUGUAAUUUUGUGUUGCUUGUUGCUGUUGAAA